AGUGAACGCUGGCGGUAGGCCUAACACAUGCAAGUCGAACGGCAGCACAGUAAGAGCUUGCUCUUACGGGUGGUGAGUGGCGGACGGGUGAGGAAUACAUCGGAAUCUACUUUUUCGUGGGGGAUAACGUAGGGAAACUUACGCUAAUACCGCAUACGACCUACGGGUGAAAGCAGGGGAUCUUCGGACCUUGCGCGAUUAAAUGAGCCGAUGUCGGAUUAGCUAGUUGGCGGGGUAAAGGCCCACCAAGGCGACGAUCCGUAGCUGGUCUGAGAGGAUGAUCAGCCACACUGGAACUGAGACACGGUCCAGACUCCUACGGGAGGCAGCAGUGGGGAAUAUUGGACAAUGGGCGCAAGCCUGAUCCAGCCAUACCGCGUGGGUGAAGAAGGCCUUCGGGUUGUAAAGCCCUUUUGUUGGGAAAGAAAAGCAGCAGGUUAAUACCCCGCUGUUCUGACGGUACCCAAAGAAUAAGCACCGGCUAACUUCGUG
This 492-nucleotide ribosomal RNA is filed under the name uncultured bacterium. RNAcentral's name for it is "partial 16S ribosomal RNA". It matches the Rfam family "Bacterial small subunit ribosomal RNA", at positions 29 to 507 of the family's 1533-position model. The record is from RNAcentral.